CAGUACGAAAGCAAGCCACCACUUCCAGAACACAAGCAACACUGUCAAGAGCUGUGGAUGCUGGCGAUACAGGAACUUCAACAUCGCAUCACAGUCCACAAAGACGUCCUUCACAGGGGUCUGGCAGCCACACGAGCAGGCCUACCAAGAGACGUCGUCCUGAUGUCGCACCAACACCAGCAUUAAGCACACCCCCACGUCGUAUUUCAACUGUGUUGCCUCAGCCACCAGAACACAUUUUGGAGAGUACUCAAUCACCGGAACCACAUUCCCCUCAGCUGUCUGAACCAGACAUCAUGCCCCCGGAAGCCCAGCAGGAAUCUGAACAACAGGAAACAUACACCCUCCAUCUGCAAGCAAUAAACGUUAACCAACCUACCACGCCUCAGGAAAGUACCCCGCCACC
This is a long non-coding RNA of Pseudophryne corroboree (corroboree frog), 406 nucleotides long. RefSeq lists it as uncharacterized. The record is from RefSeq and is a predicted model, not a curated record. The transcript is spliced from 3 exons. NCBI's taxonomy places the organism in Eukaryota, Metazoa, Chordata, Amphibia, Anura, Myobatrachidae.